Regulatory RNA element from Cryptosporangium aurantiacum, 51 nucleotides. It matches the Rfam family "L31-Actinobacteria ribosomal protein leader". NCBI's taxonomy places the organism in Bacteria, Bacillati, Actinomycetota, Actinomycetes, Cryptosporangiales, Cryptosporangiaceae. The record is from Rfam.
UCGGUACCGGUUCACGCUGCUCUCCGUCUGGGGGCCGGCGACCCGGCGACC